AUGAACCUCGGUUCUCGGCACCGGUUCCUCCCCCGCCGCUAGAUCCCGUUUCUCGGCACCGCACGUCUCCCCGAAACCGCCGCCACUAGCACACAAGUGUGAGGGGCUGAGGUCCAAACUCGUCGGCAGUUUGUACCCUAUCAACCAGCUGACCUGGAUUGGAGACGCAUUUGCGGCAUUGAAGCUCGGCGGCGGCAGGUUCCUACCCAUCCCUUGCAGCAGCGUCCAAUUUCUUUCCUCACCAGCUCCCCCUUCCAAUCCCGCUCGCCAGGACAUGAAUCGCAUUUGAGGCGUUGCUCCUCGAUGGCAGCAGCUUCCUAUCCCUCCCCUUCGGCGUGGAUUUAUUCGGAUUAAUGAGCUAUUCUCCCCCAUUGCAAGCGGCAAGAUAACUUUAGAGGAGAUUGGUAUGAACAAACAAGCUUGACUUUCGUUUCCAUCACAGAAGAUAUCCAAACAACCUGUCAGAUGAUGGCGAAGGCUGAAAUAUCUUGGGGGAGUGUAGAAAAUUCUUGUUAGCGUAAUGGUUAAUGUCUUUCCGAGAUAUUUAUUUGUAUGCCUGUAAUAUGAUCCUUCAUUACACAAGAUACGUAGAAUUUACCAUUCAGGUUAUCGCUAAGUUUAUUCAAGGAAAGAAAUGUGGCACCUGGUGUAUUGA
This is a long non-coding RNA of Setaria italica (foxtail millet), 655 nucleotides long. RefSeq lists it as uncharacterized. NCBI's taxonomy places the organism in Eukaryota, Viridiplantae, Streptophyta, Magnoliopsida, Poales, Poaceae. The record is from RefSeq and is a predicted model, not a curated record. The transcript is spliced from 2 exons.